Molecule: ribosomal RNA, 256 nt
Filed under: uncultured bacterium
Lineage: Bacteria
Description: partial 16S ribosomal RNA
Rfam family: Bacterial small subunit ribosomal RNA
Source: RNAcentral
UAAUACGUAGGGGCCAAGCGUUAUCCGGAUUUACUGGGCGUAAAGCGCAUGUAGGCGGUUGACUAAGUCGGAUGUGAAAGCUCCUGGCUUAACUGGGAGAGGCCAUUCGAAACUAGUCGGCUGGAGGGUGGUAGAGGAGAGCGGAAUUCCAGGUGUAGCGGUGAAAUGCGUAGAUAUCUGGAGGAACACCAGUGGCGAAAGCGGCUCUCUGGACCAUUCCUGACGCUGAGAUGCGAAAGCCAGGGGAGAGAACGGG